This 562-nucleotide long non-coding RNA is filed under the name Citrus maxima (pomelo). RNAcentral describes it as "long non-coding RNA (CMAX_LNC002831)". Lineage: Eukaryota; Viridiplantae; Streptophyta; Magnoliopsida; Sapindales; Rutaceae. The record is from RNAcentral.
CUCCAAACCAGCCAGUUCGUUAGGGAGUUUUUGAAAUUAUUUCAUCAUGAGCAAAUAUCAAUUAACUAGUUUCUUGAUUGUCCUCUUGAACUUGGGCACUUUGGUCUCUUCUCUAGCUAAUGACCACUCAUAUAAUCCUCCUCCUCCUCCCCCCGUUACAAAACCACCACCCCCCCAAAAGUUGAAACCCACUCCUCCUCCUCCGGUUUUAAAACCACCACCGCCGGCGCCGCCAAAGCUGAAACCUCCUCCUCCUCCUCUAGUUGUAAAACCACCACCGCCGGCGACGCCAAAGGUGAAACCUCCUCCUCCUCCUCCAGUUGUAAAACCGCCGCCGCCGCCACCGCCAAAGGUGAAACCUCUUCCUCCUCCUCCAGUUGUAAAACCACCACCACCGCCGCCAAAGGUGAAACCUCCUCCUCCCCCUCCAGUUGUAAAACCACCACCACCACCAAAUGUGGGAUACCCACCGCCACCAACACAACAAACUUGUUCAAUUAAUGCUCUCAAGCUUGGUGCAUGCGUCGAUGUUCUUGGUGGUUUAAUUCACAUUGGUCUUGGC